RNAcentral lists this ribosomal RNA (299 nucleotides) under uncultured bacterium. Its description in RNAcentral is "partial 16S ribosomal RNA". It matches the Rfam family "Bacterial small subunit ribosomal RNA", at positions 135 to 416 of the family's 1533-position model. The record is from RNAcentral.
GGUGGGGAAUAACUCGCCGAAAGGUGAGCUAAUACCGCAUAAUGCAGCGGCACCAAAUGGUGAAUAGUUGUUAAAGCGGGGGACCCUUCGGGGCCUCGCGCCUGGAGAGGAGCCUGCGGCAGAUUAGCUAGUUGGUGGGGUAAUGGCUCACCAAGGCUUCGAUCUGUAGCUGGUCUGAGAGGACGGCCAGCCACACUGGCACUGACACACGGGCCAGACUCCUACGGGAGGCAGCAGUGGGGAAUUUUGGGCAAUGGGCGCAAGCCUGACCCAGCAACGCCGCGUGAGGGAGGAAAUCC